This 253-nucleotide ribosomal RNA is filed under the name uncultured bacterium. RNAcentral describes it as "partial 16S ribosomal RNA". It matches the Rfam family "Bacterial small subunit ribosomal RNA", at positions 524 to 776 of the family's 1533-position model. The record is from RNAcentral.
GACGAAGGAGGCAAGCGUUGUUCGGAAUCACUGUGCUUAAAGCGCACGUAGGCGGCCCUUCAAGCGUCUUGUGAAAUCCCCCGGCACAACCGGGGAAUGGCUGGGCGAACUGAAGGCCUUGAGGGAGGUAUGGGCAGGUGGAACUCUUGGUGACGCGGUGGAAUGCGUAGGUAUCAAGUAGAACGCCGGUGGUGAAGACGACCUGCUGGGCCUGUUCUGACGCUGAGGUGCGAAAGCCAGGGGAGCAAACGGG